The sequence is a regulatory RNA element, 147 nucleotides long. It matches the Rfam family "radC RNA". The record is from Rfam.
ACCUACACCCCAUGCGCGCUGACCUCCGUCAGCACCAUGCCCAGGCAGCUUCGGUCUUCAAAGCUGCGGCGCGGUUCUUCCGCGUUGACCGAUCCAGUCCGCUUCGCAUCGCUCCUGCGGACGAUCGCCAUGUCCUGGCGACGAUGC